CAUGCAAACCUUUAUCAUGGCGUCGCUUUAACGAUUUUCUGAUUGGAAACUUUACUAUAUUAAUUUACAUGUAUUGUUUAUGACAGCGAAAUACGGCACAAGUUUCUUCUUCACCGGCUGGAGAAGGAUGGCCUGCCGGUGUCAGUCAUCUAUACCCUUGAAAAGCGAUAUUCAGGAAAUAUUAUAAUAGUCUCGAUGAAAAGUCGAACUUUGUUCAGGCGAAAUA
This is a non-coding RNA of Cinara cedri, 226 nucleotides long. NCBI's taxonomy places the organism in Eukaryota, Metazoa, Arthropoda, Insecta, Hemiptera, Aphididae. The record is from the annotation of a GenBank genome assembly.